AGUGAGAUAGCUGAGUCAAAUGGUGGCUCCAUUUUCAAUUUUCUGAGGAAUCUCCAUACUGCUUUCCAUAGUGGUUGCACCAAUUUGCAGUCCCACCAGCAAC
RNAcentral lists this microRNA precursor (103 nucleotides) under Marmota monax (woodchuck). Lineage: Eukaryota; Metazoa; Chordata; Mammalia; Rodentia; Sciuridae. The record is from RNAcentral.